GACCUCAGUUCAGGUGAGAUUACCGGCUGAAUUUAAGCAUAUUACUAAGCCGAGGAAAAGAAACUAACAAGGAUUCCCCUAGUAGCAGCGAGCGAACAGGGAAGAGCCCAGCGCUGAAUCCCCCGGGCCUCGCUCGGCGGGAAAUGUAGCGUUUGGGAGGGCCCGUCAACACGGCGACUCGCUCACUGGUUCAAGUCCAACUUGAAUGGGGCCACACAGAGGGUGACAGGCCCGUAGAGCAGGAGCGGUUGUCGUGUGGGUCUCUCCUUAGAGUCGGUUUGCUUGAGAGUGCAGACUUAAGUGGGUGGUAAACUCCAUCUAAGGCUAAAUAUGACCACGAGACCGAUAGCACACAAGUACCGUGAGGGAAAGGUGAAAAGAACUUUGAAGAGAGAGUUCAAGAGUACGUGAAACUGAAGUGGUGUAAACGGACGAGUUCGAAAAGUCCGAAUGGUGAGAUUCAAGCUUACCGUGCCGGUGGCCCUCGGGUUCAGAUGGCGUCGUCAGCUCGGGCUUCGGUUCGGGUCAUACGGCGUCACUCGUCCUGGGGGUAUCUGUCUGGUGCGGUGGGCUGCACUUCUCGCCUAGUAGGACGUCGCGACCCGUUGGGAUGUUCCGUUCACUGGCCCUCGGUGGAGCCCGCGCCGGAGCGUGGCCUUGUGCCGCGUUGCUGUUUGCACGGACCCGGGGUGACCUGAUCGGCGCCCGACGGUAUCAAAGCUUGGGAAGAGGCCGCACAGAGGAUGCGUUCGAUGGCCGUUUCGGCCUACACUCGGACAGGCCUGCACCCGGUCAGCGGC
RNAcentral lists this ribosomal RNA (800 nucleotides) under Frankliniella occidentalis (western flower thrips). RNAcentral's name for it is "eukaryotic LSU rRNA". It matches the Rfam family "Eukaryotic large subunit ribosomal RNA", at positions 1 to 634 of the family's 3401-position model. The record is from RNAcentral. Lineage: Eukaryota; Metazoa; Arthropoda; Insecta; Thysanoptera; Thripidae.